UGGGGAAUAUUGCGCAAUGGGCGAAAGCCUGACGCAGCGACGCCGCGUGAGGGAUGAAGGUUUUCGGAUCAUAAACCUCUGUCAGAAGGGAAGAAACCGCACUGUGCUAAUCAGCAGUGCCUUGACGGUACCUUCAAAGGAAGCACCGGCUAACUCCGUGCCAGCAGCCGCGGUAAUACGGAGGGUGCAAGCGUUAAUCGGAAUUACUGGGCGUAAAGCGCACGUAGGCUGCUUUGUAAGUCAGGGGUGAAAUCCCACGGCUCAACCGUGGAACUGCCUUUGAUACUGCUUAGCUUGAAUCCGGGAGAGGGUGGCGGAAUUCCAGGUGUAGGAGUGAAAUCCGUAGAUAUCUGGAGGAACAUCAGUGGCGAAGGCGGCCACCUGGACCGGUAUUGACGCUGAGGUGCGAAAGCGUGGGGAGCAAACAGG
RNAcentral lists this ribosomal RNA (429 nucleotides) under Fusobacteriota bacterium. RNAcentral describes it as "Fusobacteria bacterium partial 16S ribosomal RNA". It matches the Rfam family "Bacterial small subunit ribosomal RNA", at positions 355 to 776 of the family's 1533-position model. The record is from RNAcentral. Lineage: Bacteria; Fusobacteriati; Fusobacteriota.